This 2589-nucleotide long non-coding RNA is filed under the name Sus scrofa (pig). RNAcentral describes it as "lncRNA (ENSSSCG00040003727.1)". Lineage: Eukaryota; Metazoa; Chordata; Mammalia; Artiodactyla; Suidae. The record is from RNAcentral.
GGAUCUCUGAAAAGCACAGUUUGAAAAUCAAAAUGGAAGAUGUGUAAACUACUUUCACUUCUAAAACUGUAAUUCUAAGCAGAUCACAAUUUAUGAUUUCAGAAUUUCUAAAAUAGUUCGUAUCAGGAAAAAAACCAUUUCUUAUCACCUGGCCCCAGCAGGGAAACAGGUCAGUAUUACUAUAUUAUGUUCGGAGAAGCCAUGCUCUCCACCUCCACCUUGUGUGCUAGUAUCUGAGAUUUCUCUAUCCUCCAUGUGCUACAAAGAGAGAAUGCAGAGCCAAGAAGUGGGCCACACCAGCCACUCUGCCAGGAAGGCCCAGGUGCUCUUCCCAGCUUUGUCACCACCUAGCUUAAAUUUCUUCCGUAAAAUGGGAUAAUAGCAGAAAGACGAGUUGCUAUUCAUUGAACUUCUAAAAUGUGAUAUGCAAGCACUCUGAAUAGAUCAUGGCUAAUCUUCACAGCAGUGGUUCUCAAAAUUGAAUGUGCACCAGAAUCCCAUGGAAGCUUAAGACACACAUUGCUGGGGACUCCCAAAGCUUCCUGUCCCUUGGAUCAGGAAUAGGGCUUGAAAACAUGCACUUCUAACUAGUUCCCAGAUGCUGCUGAUGCUUCUGGUCUGGUGAUCACCUGUUGAGACAUACUGUUUUCCAGCUGCCUUGUACUACUCCCUAUCAUAAAUGUAAUAAAACCGAGUCUCAGACAAGUUCAAUGACUUGACCAAAGUCACACAGUCUAUCUCCCUACCCAGGUCUGCCACAUGUGUCUGUCUUUUGUGCUCUAAAGAAUUGUUUUGAAAAUUAAUGCAGGCUGUAUAAUUUUACAAGGGUGCUAUUUUGAUUUUUAAAUAGAAAAAUGUACAUUUCAUAAAAGAUGAAUAGACAGGACAAAUUUGGUCUUUUUAAGCAGGAAAAAAAAUGAGCAGGUAUCUGUGUAUGAUGUGAUCCUAAAAUAUAUGAACUUCACUUGAUCCCCUUGCUGUACAGUGGGAAAAAAAAUUUUUUUAAUAAUAAAUAAAUAAAUAAAAUAUAUGAACCUCAAUAACCCACCAGAUCAGUUGAGAAACAAUUCCAUGCUACUGGAUUACAGCUUGGAAUUGUAUGUCAGUUCAUAGAGAAGGGUCUACAUAACCCAUUACCGUUUUCUUACCCAUGAAAGACUCAGUAGAGCGAGCUCUUGCAAUGGAAGAUUUGAAAUACAGGCUAAUAAAAGGCACAAAAUGACAAUUGACUCAUGAAAGUUUGAAACCUCUGUUUAUAUUUUCCACAUUUUAAUAAGCAAGCAGAAAACUAAACCAACACAACUCUGAUUAAUCUAUUUUGAAUAAGGAAAAGUGAAAGUUUGAUGGGGGAGAAAAAAAAAAAACAUUUCCCUAACAACUAAUUUGAAAACCAGAAAGUCUCUCCCUUUCUCCUGUUGGCUUGGAAACAGCCAUUUCUCUAUAUUUCUUGAAUUCUUUUACUUUCCCAAAGGGUUUCCACUUAUAUUUAAAUGAAAAGUCAUUUCCCAGUUUUCUAUAGCCUGGAAAAAUAGAUCAACUAUGUCAAAAUGAAAAAUGUCACCUUAUAUACACUUAGCUUCCUUCAGGACAUGGGGGAAAAAUGAUGGUACUGGAAGCUGACCUGCGGAAGCCUCUGGAAAGGUCAGGAUGCUCAGCAGAAAACAAUGAUGCCAUUUUUCUUUCUACUUUUGUUAGCGUCCCUGAUGUUACUUUCACUUCUUGAGAAACCUACCUGUUUUCAGAACAGGAAAUGUGACCUAAUAUCCUCUCAGAUUUAGGAUCCUAAUAACAAACAAUGACAGAGACGAUGUGGAUAGUUUAGUUGCAAGUCUCCCGUUUAAAUGCACAAAAUAUCCAAAGUAUGAUAUAAACUCAUGUAACACUUAUCACAGUGCUUGGUCUAAACUGACCUCCCUGCAUCCUGGAAGCACAUCCUAACAGGAAGCCCCAAAGACCUACCCCUCCAAGGUGACUGCUCUUUAAGGCGCUGUUGUUCGAAACGUGGGGACAUGAGACAGUCAACCACCCUGGGGUCUCUCUUAUCUUGGCCUCUUCUGAUUAUUCUAGAUUACUCCAACAAUUUAUGAAUUGUUAAUAUGAUCAUUAGAAAGUUGCAACCUGUGAGUCCAGGAGAACAUCUCAUUAGUUUUCAUUUUCUCACCUUCAAUUCUGAAAGUUUUUAAAGUCUGUCUAUAUUUAUGGCCAAUUACUAUAGAUGAUUAGACCUUGUGCUAAUGAUCCCAAUAAAAAGACCAGGAGCACUGGAAUUGGAAAGCUCUUUCUAUCUUUAUAGAAAGUCCUUAACUUUGCUGGGCCUCAGUUUUCUCACCUCUAUAAUGGUUCCCGUCGUGGCGCAGUGGUUAACUAAUCCGACUAGGAACCAUGAGGUUACGGGUUCGGUCCCUGCCCUUGCUCAGUGGGUUGACGAUCCGGCGUUGCCGUGAGCUGUGGUGUAGGUUGCAGACGCGGCUCGGAUCCCGCGUUGCUGUGGCUCUGGUGUAGGCCGGUGGCUGCAGCUCCGAUUCAACCCCUAGCCUGGGAACCUCCAUAUGCCGCGGGAGCGGCCCAAGAAAUAGCAACAACAACAAC